GAUGAACGCUGACAGAAUGCUUAACGCAUGCAAGUCUUUGGCGAAGCUGUGCUUGCACAGCCUAGCCAAGGCGGACGGGUGAGUAACGCGUAAGGAACUUGCCCUGCAGUCAGGGAUAACAGACGGAAACGACUGAUAAGACCUGGUAAAGUCAGGCGGACUCAUGUCCAGCCUGAUGAAAAGAGAUGCUGCAGGAGAGCCUUGCGUCCUAUUAGCUUGUUGGUGGGGUAACGGCCCACCAAGGCGAUGAUAGGUAGCCGGCCUGAGAGGGUGGACGGCCACAAGGGGACUGAGAUACGGCCCUUACUCCUACGGAAGGCAGCAGUGGGGAAUAUUGGACAAUGGGGGCAACCCUGAUCCAGCAAUUCUGUGUGCACGAUGAAGGUUUUCGGAUUGUAAAGUGCUUUCAGCAGGGAAGAAAAAAAUGACGGUACCUGCAGAAGAAGCGACGGCUAAAUACGUG
This 463-nucleotide ribosomal RNA is filed under the name uncultured bacterium. RNAcentral's name for it is "partial 16S ribosomal RNA". It matches the Rfam family "Bacterial small subunit ribosomal RNA", at positions 28 to 507 of the family's 1533-position model. The record is from RNAcentral.